This 156-nucleotide transfer RNA is filed under the name Parastagonospora nodorum SN15. RNAcentral's name for it is "Phaeosphaeria nodorum SN15 tRNA-Trp for anticodon CCA". The record is from RNAcentral. Lineage: Eukaryota; Fungi; Ascomycota; Dothideomycetes; Pleosporales; Phaeosphaeriaceae.
GGCUCAGUGGUCUAGUGGUAUGAUGUAUGUAUCCACCACCACUCACUUCUUCAACAAGUGUCUAACCGUCUUGCAGUGUCGCUUCGGGUUUCCCAUAACCUGGAUUCUUAGAGUCUUCUAUGUGACAGGCCCCGGGUUCGAAUCCCGGCUGAGCCC